UGACAGUUCCAAGGUGACUCUGGUGACCCA
Molecule: non-coding RNA, 30 nt
Filed under: Macaca fascicularis (crab-eating macaque)
Lineage: Eukaryota; Metazoa; Chordata; Mammalia; Primates; Cercopithecidae
Also listed under: 1 other name
Source: RNAcentral